Molecule: non-coding RNA, 468 nt
Organism: Paramuricea clavata
Lineage: Eukaryota; Metazoa; Cnidaria; Anthozoa; Malacalcyonacea; Plexauridae
Source: the annotation of a GenBank genome assembly
CUUGUAGCAACUUGUUGCGAACAGCCUGUAUUAGUUUUGUUGGAACAACUUGUAGCAAGUCUGUUAGUGACUGCAUGUUACCGUCAUCAACCUUGUAACAAUUAAGGUGAUAACAACUUGUUAUAACAACUGGGAACAAUUUAUUACAACUUGUUUGCAGAUCCGCAACAACUUAAUUGCGCGUUUUUAUGUGUGUAGAUGCUUUAUUUUAAAUGCAGAAAGUGCAAACGUACUGCAGUAUUUUAGAGUCGAAAAAAUGUCAUCUAAAUGUCAUGAUCUGUGAAAACUAACUAUAUUUUACAAUCUGGGUUAAGUGCAAUGUAGCUAUUUACAAAGAAGAGAAAUUUUUAUAUGCUUUAGAGCUGUGCGGUUAACCGAAAAAUUCGGUUCUUCCGGUACUUUUUUCAGCACCGAAAAACCAUACGCAAAAAACCGGUAGUUUCGGUUUUAAUUUCCCGUUUAACGCCC